UCUUGUUCGAAAUUCAAAUCUCAUUACUAGCCUUUAUGAAAAUCUUAUUAGGAACUUUAUCCAUAGUUUAUGAGUUCAGUGAGUUAAAUUUGUUAUAAUUAACUUUAAAAUUAACAGCGAUCGAGUUUAAACAUGACGUUAAAAUAACUGACAUUGAUGGUAAAAUAAUUGUUAUUUACGAAGAAUUGAAGGCGGCAUCCAAGAUAAUGAAUCGGGAUUCGAAGAAGA
Molecule: long non-coding RNA, 228 nt
Organism: Colias croceus (clouded yellow)
Lineage: Eukaryota; Metazoa; Arthropoda; Insecta; Lepidoptera; Pieridae
Exons: 3
Source: RefSeq, a predicted model, not a curated record